RNAcentral lists this ribosomal RNA (600 nucleotides) under Pseudoalteromonas sp. Prot5. Its description in RNAcentral is "bacterial SSU rRNA". It matches the Rfam family "Bacterial small subunit ribosomal RNA", at positions 378 to 971 of the family's 1533-position model. Lineage: Bacteria; Pseudomonadati; Pseudomonadota; Gammaproteobacteria; Alteromonadales; Pseudoalteromonadaceae. The record is from RNAcentral.
CAAGCCUGAUGCAGCCAUGCCGCGUGUGUGAAGAGGGCCUUCGGGUUGUAAAGCACUUUCAGUCAGGAGGAAAGGUUAAUAGUUAAUACCUGCUAGCUGUGACGUUACUGACAGAAGAAGCACCGGCUAACUCCGUGCCAGCAGCCGCGGUAAUACGGAGGGUGCGAGCGUUAAUCGGAAUUACUGGGCGUAAAGCGUACGCAGGCGGUUUGUUAAGCGAGAUGUGAAAGCCCCGGGCUCAACCUGGGAACUGCAUUUCGAACUGGCAAACUAGAGUGUGAUAGAGGGUGGUAGAAUUUCAGGUGUAGCGGUGAAAUGCGUAGAGAUCUGAAGGAAUACCGAUGGCGAAGGCAGCCACCUGGGUCAACACUGACGCUCAUGUACGAAAGCGUGGGGAGCAAACGGGAUUAGAUACCCCGGUAGUCCACGCCGUAAACGAUGUCUACUAGAAGCUCGGAGCCUCGGUUCUGUUUUUCAAAGCUAACGCAUUAAGUAGACCGCCUGGGGAGUACGGCCGCMMGGUUAAAACUCAAAUGAAUUGACGGGGGCCCGCACAAGCGGUGGAGCAUGUGGUUUAAUUCUAUGCAACGCGAAGAACCU